AGCCCUGUAGUCUAGUGGUCCAGGAUAAUUGGCUCUGGCCCAGUUGACCUCGGUUCGAAUCCGAGCAGGGCUA
This 73-nucleotide transfer RNA is filed under the name Candidatus Pacearchaeota archaeon. RNAcentral describes it as "tRNA-Gln". It matches the Rfam family "tRNA". Rfam says of the family: Transfer RNA (tRNA) molecules are approximately 80 nucleotides in length. Their secondary structure includes four short double-helical elements and three loops (D, anti-codon, and T loops). The record is from RNAcentral. Lineage: Archaea; Nanobdellati.